Rattus norvegicus (Norway rat) is the source of this 1331-nucleotide non-coding RNA. NCBI's taxonomy places the organism in Eukaryota, Metazoa, Chordata, Mammalia, Rodentia, Muridae. The record is from RefSeq and is a predicted model, not a curated record.
GGGAGGCAUAGCUCAGGUUGCCUCGGCUGAAGCGAGCCAUGGGAGAAACCAGCCCCCAGCCAGCAAGCAUGUCCCAGCAGACUCGAGAAAUGGAAACAAAGGACAUUCUGGAACUUGAGUCAAACAUUUACCAAAUUAAUUCUCGAGAAAAUGUUUGAGAUUCCAGGGGCUGGUGGCUAUUUUUUUUCCUUCUUCUUCUUCUUCUUUCUUAACUACGCUACAUCAGGAAGUAAUUGCCUGAUUAAGGGACACAGAGCUUGGAGAGUGACACAUUUUUUAAAAUUAGAACGCCCCUGCCAACAGACAUGUACGCCGCGGGUUGUCUCUUCCUCAAGCAACUCGACCCUAAACGAGAAACAGCAGCGAUGGAAAAAGACAAGGAAGGGAGUGACCUCCUGACCUCCAAGGCCCCAGCUGCUCCCCGACACAUGUACCUUCGUUUGUGUAAACCAGGGCUCAUGGGAAGAUGUCAAUUCCAAGCCCCGAGAGUGGGGAGCACACCGCAGGCAGGGCAGUAGGACUACAGGGCUCCUAUGACCUGGGUGCCACCAUCCGGGCCAGCAGAUGACAGGACCCACAGGGAAAUAAUAAAGUGACCAUAGAGAAAAUUAUUGUGGGAGACCAAAGAAAGAGCGAGUUGCAGCUAUUCCUGUUCUACAGUGUGACAGCUGCCAGCACGCACCCCUUAUCAGUCUUCAAACUCCCUAGACCUCAUGCAGCAGCCUCUUUUGCACCAAAAAGGCCCUUCUGAGGACUGAAGAGACUGUACCCCUCCCUCCAGGCCAUUGCCUAACCAGCUUCUCCGUCAGCACCGGGGGCGUUGAGACUGUUUCUUUUCCGAGUGUUGGUGUCUGUGUGUGUUGUCUCUAAGCUGCAAGGGCCGUACCAGCUGCCUUGUUCUCUGUUCUACCAUUUGGAGCAGGCCUAGUAUGGUUUUGUUCAUAGUAAACAUUUGCCGGUGAAAGGAUAGAUGGAUGGGUGGAUAGAAAGGUGAACGGAGGAGUGGAGAUUGGUAGGUGAAUGUGUGGGUAGAUGGGUAUGGUGGUUUGAAUAUACUCACCCAGGGAGUGGUACUAUUAGGAGGCGUGGCCUUGUUGGAGUGGGUAUGGCCUUGUUGGAGUGGCUGUGGCCUUGUUGGAGUAGGUGUGUCAUUGUGGGCUUUAAGACCCUCACACUAGUUGCCUGGAAGCCAGUAUUCUGCUAGCAGCCUUCAGAUGAAGAUGUAGAACUCUCAGCUCCUGCCUGGACACUGCCAUGUUCCCGCCUUGAUGAUAAUGGACUGAACCUCUGAACCUGUAAACCAUCCCAAACUAAACAUUGUUUUUAUAAGA